AUUGAACGCUAGCGGCAGGCUUAACACAUGCAAGUCGAGCGGGGUGAUGGUGCUUGCACUAUCACUUAGUGGCGGACGGGUGAGUAAUGCUUAGGAAUCUGCCUAUUAGUGGGGGACAACAUCUCGAAAGGGAUGCUAAUACCGCAUACGUCCUACGGGAGAAAGCAGGGGAUCACUUGUGACCUUGCGCUAAUAGAUGAGCCUAAGUCGGAUUAGCUAGUUGGUGGGGUAAAGGCCUACCAAGGCGACGAUCUGUAGCGGGUCUGAGAGGAUGAUCCGCCACACUGGGACUGAGACACGGCCCAGACUCCUACGGGAGGCAGCAGUGGGGAAUAUUGGACAAUGGGGGGAACCCUGAUCCAGCCAUGCCGCGUGUGUGAAGAAGGCCUUAUGGUUGUAAAGCACCUUAAGCGAGGAGGAGGCUUACCUAGUUAAUACCUGGGAUAAGUGGACGUUACUCGCAGAAUAAGCACCGGCUAACUCUGUGCCAGCCGCCGCAGUAA
This 503-nucleotide ribosomal RNA is filed under the name uncultured bacterium. RNAcentral describes it as "partial 16S ribosomal RNA". It matches the Rfam family "Bacterial small subunit ribosomal RNA", at positions 30 to 523 of the family's 1533-position model. The record is from RNAcentral.